RNAcentral lists this transfer RNA (72 nucleotides) under Minicystis rosea. RNAcentral describes it as "tRNA-Ala". Lineage: Bacteria; Pseudomonadati; Myxococcota; Polyangiales; Polyangiaceae. The record is from RNAcentral.
GGGGCGAUAUUUCAACCGGGAGAAUCCUACCCCCGCACGGUAGGGAUCGGGGUUCGAGCCCCCGUCGCUCCA